CUUCUUUUUUGUAUUUAUUUAAUGCAUUUUCAUAACUUGAAUCUGCCUUUCUUUAUCCUGUCAUCGCAGCUUUUUUUUUUUAGUAGAAAGUUAAAUUUUCUUAUUUGUUGAAUCCUGGUGAAUAAUGUUGUCUUUGUGUGUUCUGGGGUUUAAACCUGACAGUAAUAUCAAAUUAACCAUCUUUAUAGCUGUGUCAAUCCACCAAGAGGAACAGAGAAAGGACAUUGCUGUGAAGCUCUCCUGGAUGAUGGGUGUAGUUAGUUGGUUUGAGAGAUAUUGUCUCCUCUGGAUGUAGUGAGUUCCCUGGCUU
Non-coding RNA from Pelobates cultripes (western spadefoot toad), 310 nucleotides. The record is from the annotation of a GenBank genome assembly. NCBI's taxonomy places the organism in Eukaryota, Metazoa, Chordata, Amphibia, Anura, Pelobatidae.